RNAcentral lists this ribosomal RNA (710 nucleotides) under Coprinellus radians. RNAcentral describes it as "eukaryotic LSU rRNA". The stretch from base 292 to 445 matches the Rfam family "5.8S ribosomal RNA". Lineage: Eukaryota; Fungi; Basidiomycota; Agaricomycetes; Agaricales; Psathyrellaceae. The record is from RNAcentral.
GGAAGUAAAAGUCGUAACAAGGUUUCCGUAGGUGAACCUGCGGAAGGAUCAUUAACGAAUAACUAUGGCGUUGGUUGUAGCUGGCUCCUCGGAGCAAUGUGCACGCCCGCCAUUUUUAUCUUUCCACCUGUGCACCGACUGUAGGUCUGGAUACCUCUCGCCUCCGGGCGGAUGCGAGGGUUGCUCGUAAGGGCUUCCCUUGAACUUCCAGGCUCUACGUCUUUUUACACACCCCAAUAGUAUGAUGCAGAAUGUAGUCAAUGGGCUUCUCAAGCCUAUAAAACACUAUACAACUUUCAGCAACGGAUCUCUUGGCUCUCGCAUCGAUGAAGAACGCAGCGAAAUGCGAUAAGUAAUGUGAAUUGCAGAAUUCAGUGAAUCAUCGAAUCUUUGAACGCACCUUGCGCUCCUUGGUAUUCCGAGGAGCAUGCCUGUUUGAGUGUCAUUAAAUUCUCAACCUCACCAGUUUUCUGAACUGACUGAGGCUUGGAAGUGGGGGUUUGUGCAGGCUGCCUCACCGGCGGUCUGCUCCCCUGAAAUGCAUUAGCGAGGUUCAUGCUGGACCUCCGUCUAUUGGUGUGAUAAUUAUCUACGCCGUGGACGAGGAUACAGACUCGCUUCUAACCGUCCGCGAGGACAAUACCUUGACAAUUUGACCUCAAAUCAGGUAGGACUACCCGCUGAACUUAAGCAUAUCAAUAAGCGGAGGA